RNAcentral lists this long non-coding RNA (598 nucleotides) under Homo sapiens (human). Its description in RNAcentral is "ADARB2 antisense RNA 1, transcript variant 2 (ADARB2-AS1)". The record is from RNAcentral. Lineage: Eukaryota; Metazoa; Chordata; Mammalia; Primates; Hominidae.
GCAGAACCCAUUACCCAUCUCCCGAUAGCCAUUCCGAUGGAAGGCCCUGACAAACGACUCCCUGCAAAGCCGGAUAAGCCCUCUGCAUCCAUCGGCUAAUGCCAGACACUGCCUCCCUAAGUGACUGACCCUCAAUAAAAACCUUGGACGCCGAAGCUCAGGUGAACUUUCCCAGCUGAACCUUGGACCCGGAGGCUCAGCUGUCGAGGAUGCCCUGAUGUCUGUUCUCACAUCACAUUGCGCUCCAAGUACCCCGGCUGCAACCAGAGCUCAGCAAACCGGGACCAGAGGGCACAUCCACCCUGCCUGCCCAUGUCAACAGAGUUGUGUGGGAGCCAGCCGGCCCCCAGGAAGACCCCAGAUCUUCCUGCCCCUGACCACAGCUCUGUCCCUGGAAGCAUAUGCUGCAGACACUUGCUCUGCUGCAGAUUUUCUGCACAACCCCUCCUCAUGGGGGAAGGUUUGGUACCUGAAUGAGGCCUCUUUUGACCUCUAUUCCUAUCACUAUUUUUGGUGACCUCAAUAUUUAUGAAGGUAAUAACUUGGUCUUUAAUCCAGACAAUUUUCACCUCCAGGAAUCUUGUCCUGCAUCUCACUU